Molecule: ribosomal RNA, 452 nt
Filed under: uncultured bacterium
Lineage: Bacteria
Description: bacterial SSU rRNA
Rfam family: Bacterial small subunit ribosomal RNA
Source: RNAcentral
UACGGGAGGCAGCAGUGGGGAAUAUUGCACAACGGGCGCAAGCCUGAUGCAGCCAUGCCGCGUGUAUGAAGAAGGCCUUCGGGUUGUAAAGUACUUUCAGUCGUGAGGAGGUGUUAAGGUUAAUAACCUUAGCAAUUGACGUUAGCGACAGAAGAAGCACCGGCUAACUCCGUGCCAGCAGCCGCGGUAAUACGGAGGGUGCGAGCGUUAAUCGGAAUUACUGGGCGUAAAGGGCACGCAGGCGGUUAAUUAAGUUGGAUGUGAAAUCCCCGGGCUUAACCUGGGAAUGGCAUUCAAGACUGGUUAGCUAGAGUCUUGUAGAGGGGGUAGAAUUCCAUGUGUAGCGGUGAAAUGCGUAGAGAUGUGGAGGAAUACCGGUGGCGAAGGCGGCCCCUGGACAAAGACUGACGCUCAUGUGCGAAAGCGUGGGGAGCAAACAGGGAUUAGAUACC